RNAcentral lists this long non-coding RNA (8056 nucleotides) under Bemisia tabaci. Its description in RNAcentral is "lncRNA ENSASIAIIG001664". The record is from RNAcentral. Lineage: Eukaryota; Metazoa; Arthropoda; Insecta; Hemiptera; Aleyrodidae.
UUUCUCUCCAAAAGUUUCAGAGGAGGAACGUCGCGCCAAACAGAUUAUUAGAACGUGACGCGCUAAGAGUUUUAGUAAUUGUAAGGCGAGGAGGCAGAACUAAGUGGAAGCAAGAACAUAACACCAAGUGAGAACUUCAAAUCCAGUAAAAUAAUUACACUGAUUUGGGCCGAUGCAAAUGCGAAUGCGACUGAGAGAGAACUGAAAAAUGCUAGAGUAUCACAUUCACAUUCAUUCAAAUGACUGCGCUGGCAUGUGCAUGUUUACCUCCUGCCUCCUGGCACUUCGGCAACACCAGCAACACACACACGCGUUUUUCAAGGCCUCAUGUUCAUGAAAACCGCCAUUUUCUGCCACUUUUACCAAUAUACAAAUAAUAUUUUUGUUCCCUUGCUUGUCUUAAUGGAUCGAUACAAUCGGACAGAUCUUAUUCUUAUCCAAAAUUUUACGCAAUUAUAUUUUUUUUCAAUUCGCAGAAAUGAAAAAAGUUAAUUGCACGGUACCGUCUUCUCAAUACCUACAUUUUGCUAGAUUGGAAAAUUCUUCAAUGUAGUGUAGAUUAACUUCUCCAGUUGGCUAAGCUGUAGCAUCUUGUAAACCAGCGCUAUCAAAGUUUUGUACUUUUUUCCGAAAUUUUGUUACAUGCCUUUUUUCGAUUCGUAACUUCAUUGAACUUUUUAUUUAAGUACUCUAUCAAAAUGUCAAAAUCAUUUUCAUCGUUUUGCGUGAUCUCAGUGGUCAGUAUUUAGAAUCUUUUUUAAUUUGGCAGUUCAUGGCAUUGUGCCACGCCGUAACGCAGCAGAGAACUGAAGUGGAACUACUCAAGGCGGUCUGCUCCCUGGCUCCCUCCAAGUUGCAGGUUACAGCAUUUCAGGCAUUUCUUGUAGCUACCAUCAUCUCUCACGAUGGUAUUCUCCAAUGCAGGGUUCUUGCACGCCUCCGAUAAUCGCUUUUUUGAUGAUGGCAUUGCGUACUGCAGGAAACAACAGUUUGAAAAAGCAUACCAAUGUUUCAAGAGACAUCUCUCUCAGAACAGUUUCUGUCAGGAAACAUUUCAGAUGAUAUCCUACUGUCAAUACAAAUUCAUGGAAAGUAGCGCAAGUAACGUUAAUGACCUAUCUGUUCUAUCUAAACGGUCUAAAAGCAGCCGAAGAACUUCAUCAACUUAUACAAAAGCUAUGAAGAACCUUGACUACUGUCAACCCAUCACUAAUGGGAAGUCCAGGUCUCGGAUAUUAAAAAAUGGGGAAGAGAAGGCGGUCUCGAGUAGUCAUUCUCUGAAUUUUUCAAAGAAAAAUAAAAAGCUUGAUCCUCUUUUUGUCCCUAAGGGCUCUGAAAAGCAAGCAAGUAUUUUGCUACAAAGUAGUCUGCAUUCACCAGUGCAUACUGACAGCGCUUCACAUCAAGGAGAAUCAUCGAUCAAUGGAAUUGUCUCUGAUCAAUUUAUCAAAAAUAAUGAUUCAAGAACCCUUUCUCUGGCUCAGAUUAUGAACUACCAAAUGGAGAUAGAGUUAUUCUUACGUAGUCUUGAUAGCAUGCUCUCUAAUGUAGAAGUUCUAGUCAACUCUUUGCUCGCCAAAGAGAGGAAACAAAAUUCCCGGUUAUCAAAUUUACUAAAAACUUUCCACGAAAGUGAAAUCUAUAGCUCUUACUUGGAACCACAUGUUUUCCCAAGGAACCAUGAAGAAUUGGCAUUCUGGAAUCACUCUCUUCCUCACUGUCAAAGUGUCUCACUGCAAUCAUCGUCCAGAAUUUCGAGUGAUGAUAGGUUCUAUGAUUUUGGUACUGGGUAUCAAAGUAUGUCAAUGGAAUCGGGAAAAUUUGUCUCAUAUGAAUCUGCAGCACAAGUCAUAGAUAAGGAAUGUGUCUUGCUUGAUCAUGUCUUGAAUUGUGAGCACAAUAAUGGUAAUGAACACAGUGAUGAAAGUCUUGCCAAUGCAACUUCACAAGUCAUUGAUAAUUCUUAUUCAUAUCAUCAUACUGAAAACCUUAACCAAAAUCAACUUCUUCACUCCGCGGAUUGUAAUGCUACCCGAUCGGAAAAUGUCUUGCAGCUUGAAGUGGGGCAAGUGAUUGAUGAUUUGAAGGUAUCUAAUUGUGUACAAAUAAAAUCUGAUACUUCAAUUGGCAGCUCCAAUAGCUUAUGUCAUGAAGCCUUAGUUACUCAACCGUUAUUUCAAUCAAAAUAUCUUUCGAAGAAAUCAGUAUUUUCGGAGACUGGUUUCUCUCCUCCGUGGGAGAGAAUCUCCUCCUUUACAUCUGCAAAAAAAACCGUCGUAAAGAGAAAAUUUCUUUCAAGUGAAAAUGAAGUAGAAGACAAUUGCAAGCGCAUGAGAGUGCAUAGAAAAAAUCCAAUUUAUAAAGACAGAUGUUUGCAGGACUGCCAAUGGAGGAAGAAGUUCAAGCAGCAGCAAGUUACAAGUAACUUGACUGACUCAGCAGUCGUUGAUACUCGCUCUCAGUGUAGAAUUCAACGUCUCCCCGAAAACAUUGUAAGAACCGAUGGUGCAAUUCACCUCAAGAAUCUGUAUUGCAGUUUUCGUCUCAUGAAAAAUGUUGCUGUUCAAACAGAAUCUUGCGAUCCUAGGUUGCAUUCAAUCACCACCAUCAAAGCCAACAUUAGCAGUGCAUCAAGUACUGUAAGUCUGUUCCAUUCUACUUCUCUUGUUCCAGCGCAUGCCAGUCAGAGAAGAAAGACAUUGAUAGUAACAAAUUCUGCAUGUCCAGCAAACUGCUUGAAUAUUUUUAUCAACAAAGUCCUUGCCGAAAUAAUGAGCAGUGUCUCCUCCUUUCCAAUCGAUUUCAGUCCCUUAAUUUUGAGCAUCGAUCAGGCUCCUCUUUCUGAUCAUGAUGUUAAAUUGGACCUUAUUCCUGCAUCAAGCGAACUUCUAACCUGCUCCAGUGUAUGUUUACGCCUUCACGGUCAUUAUAUUGAGUUCAAAAACUUGCGUGUGUACCAAGUAGAUCCCUUUUGGUUGCGCUACUUGGAGUGUCAUGCAUCCAAAAACAUUGAUUCAGGUCACUCGCAGUCACAAGAUCUCGUUUCGUUCAUAUACCCAGAACGCAUAAUUCUACAUUCCCUUAGCACAGAUUUAUACAAUCUCACUUUACUUGCCGGUCCUUUUAGAAUAAGAUUUGUCAAUUUUAAAAGCUAUUUGAGCUCUUGUUUUGACAAGUGACUGUCAUUAACCAUGUGGUAGUUUCCCACUCUAUUUAGUAGAAUGUUACUUUCUGAAAUGUCUCAACAAUUGAAUUGCUCUUUCUAGUCUUAUUGCUGACAGAGCCUCUAUUGUAGUCCAACUGAAAUCAGUUUCUUAUCUUUAUAUAAAUACAUACUCCAAAACAUCUCAUAUGAAUACAUUCUAUAACUUCUAAAAGAGGUGACAGGAAUAAUAACCAUAUGGUGACUGCAUGACAAUAUUGAGGUCAUGGUCGCACUAGCUUGCAAAAAUUACAUUUGGAAGGAAGGCCAGUUCGAACUCAGAAAACCAGCCAAACUUCCAACAUAUGAUGUAGGUGUAGGUAGUUUAUAUAAAUGAUAAUAUGAGUUCCUCAUUUUCUUCGCACAACUUUACAUUUCAACUUCGUGUAUGAAUAUUGGUGUUUUGCUCCAUUACAAUGAAUUGUUACAUGAAAAAUUCAUAGGAUUCAUGUUCAUUUUUGGGAAUGAAUUUUCUACUAAUGAUAAAGAAGACAGUUGCUGACAUUCUUCAAACGGAAUUUUUAAGAGACAGGAAAUCAUCGUUACCACUGUACCUAUUAAGCAUGUGGUAAUUAGAGUGAUAAAACGUAGUCUUGUAACAAGGCUGUGAUUCACCCGAUUUAGAAGUAAUUAUUUUUAACUAGUUUUUGUGAUAUGAAUUAAGUUACUUAAAUUAGAAACAUUUUUUUACAAGCUAGAGACUGCUGAAAUUUCGUACCUUUAGAAUACAAGCAAAAAUGUAUAUAGAAUUUUUGAAUUUUGAUCGAUCUAGUAUUAAAUGGGAUAAUCUUCCUUAAGCAAAUCUUUCUACUUUAUCAGUAGGUUUAAAGAUUGCUUUCCAUUCUGCUAACAGUUUUUACGGAGCAAGUUAGCCAAACGCUAAAUUACAGAAGUCUCCGUUUGUAUUUGAGGACACAUUGAUGUCAAGUUCAGGUAUUAUUCAAGGAGGCAAUUUUUCUGCUUCUACUACAUGAAAGGGCGCACACAAUUCGAACUUGUACUAAACAUUGAAUAAGUUCAUUAUCUCCAUCAUCUUCAUGAAAUAAUUCUGUCCCUCUUUUUUUUUAUACCUCCUUGAUUCUUAUCAUCAGAGACGCAUGUAAAUGCUGUUUUGUGAUAACUAGAUUACGCAACUUUAUCUGUGGUUUUAGUGUAUUUCGAUAUAUUUGUAGUCUAUUACGUAGUCUCCUCUUACUUGUAUAUGUAUAUCAAUUUUGUACGUCACUAAACAUCAGUGUUAUGCACAAGAGGUUUUUGAGCCUAAUAAUUUUUCUGAGAAUCUAUCUUAUUGAAGUUGAAACCUCUGAUUUACAAAUGGAAGUUUUAGGGCGUCAUUGUUAAACUUAGAUAGGCUCGAAAGUUACAUGAGCUUUUUGAUACCUUUAAUAUAAACUUCAUUUUGCCAAAUUCACAGCCUAAAGGCAACUUUUUCCCUGUUUUUGGAAAAUCUUAUACAUUAUUAGGAAUGUCAUUUUAUCUUUUUGACCAGAAAAUGAAAACCGUUAAAAAGUAAAGUUGAUCUGUUUUGGCAGAGGAUUAACAUACAAAUCUGUUGUCACCUUUUGUUGGAAGCUUAUAUAUUCCUUUAAAGCUAAUUUUACAAGACAAAUUCGGCAUAUUAAAUAGCCUGUUCCAGACGCUCAAACUAAGACUCAGCCUGGGGGCAUCAAUGUGGCUGUUGACUGUUGAACAUUUACAAAAACAAUAAAAACCGGCACAGUUUUCACAUUUAUGACAAAAAAGGAGGGAAAGCCGUAUGUUUCGGUGAUUCUUGUUUUCUGAGGUUUGGUUCAAAGGUCAUCAGCCCACAGACCUUUGAAGUUCAGUAGUCGACACCCACAUCGAUGCCCUCAGACUGAACCUCCAAUUUGAGCGUCUGGAAUGGGCCAUUUAGUUUGGUGUGUAGCCCGUUUCAAGAGCUUUGCUCCCAAUUUCAGUUUGUGGAAACUAUUAAGUUACAGUCUCACAACAGAUCAUUGUUUGAAAACAGAAGUACUAUCCAUCAUCAUCUAUCCAGCUUUUUUAGUCAUUAUUAUCUAUGUUGAACUUUAUUUGAGAAUAUAAAGAUUUCUACUGUGAAUCAUUGUUCAUUGUUCGUCAUAAUCUUUCUGCUAAACUUUUUAGUCUGUAAAACUCAUUGUGUAAAGCUCAUGAUGUACUGUUGUAUUUUUGGUUACCAGGAACCUCAUAGUCUUAAAAAGUCUAGGCUAAUUAUUUGUUCCUCCUAUUUUUUCUUAAUUUUUAUAAUAAGUUCAUCAGUAUUGAUAAAUCAACGGGUACUUAAUGAAUUCAUUCCACCUAGUUUUAUAAGUUACACCCUAGUUUAAACAUUCACUUUCUGUAACGUAACUUAGCAGUUGAUGAUUCUUCAGUAUGUCGGGUGGCUUCCAGUGAAACUUUUGUGAACGGUAUGCCUAGAUUAGUGUAGGUUAUUUACCAAUCUAUUUGUUUCCUCUCUAUUCCUGUUGACGUUUUUUUUCUUCUUUUAAAAUUAUAACUAUUUUUUGCGUGAAAGAAAUCUUGUUUUAUAUUUCCGCGGCUGCUCUUCUUUAUCCUCGUUUUAUAUAUUUCAUUUCAUUUUUUUUCACUUUGAUACCUGCAGUAAUUCUGCUUUCGUCUUAGCCACCGUCGAUAGGUAAUCAUGACUCCACGCUGCUGUGCCAAAGAAAACGCCCUAAGUACAAUAAUUUGGACGUUGUUACGUGUCCUCUGCUAAAUCACGAAUUUUCUGGAAAAUUUUUUGAAUUUUUCCUUUCAAUGUGUCGCACAAUCGUAUUUGAUAUUCAAUCUUUAAUAGUUGAAAAACUCUAUGAAAAAUAUUCAUAAUUAAAAAUCGAUUGUCGAAGUGUGGAACCACAUAUCUCUCUUCAUGACAAUGUAGGCUUCUUGUCAUACUUAUUUUUUCUUUGGAAAGCUAGUGAACGUAAUAUCUUGAAAAAUUCCUUGAUUUUUCCUCCCUGUUUGCCGAAUAUUUUGUACACAUUUCAAGCUGUAAAGAGAGCUUGUUUCCCUGCCAAAAAAAUGAAAUAGGAGUGGAAAUGUUAAAGCACCAGAACGGAGACACGUGGUUUCGCACUUCGGCUAUCGAAAUGCCUUUUGGGGGAAUGUGGCAUCUUUGGAAUGCUCAAACUGCGUUACGUUGUUCCGAUUUUUUUACCCAACCCCUCCUCUCUCGGCAGGUACCUGUUAUGCACCUCACUAGAUCCCUCUUGACGAUAAAGUCAGGUUGAAGUACCCCCUCCCCCCAUUUUGAAGACAAUGAAGAAGACUGAAGAAAAAUAUAAACGAUCUUCUCUGUCAAAUAACAAACGUAGAGACAUCUCAUAAAAGAGAAAAUCAGUUACAACAGUCAGCGGGCUGAUUAUUGAAAUUGAUGAUAGACAAAGAAGACAUAGGGAGUAUGGAGCGAUCCUAUUGGUUGAAACAGGUGGUUCUUUGAGGCUAAGGGGGAAAAAUGGACGAACUGAAGGGUCUCUUGUCUGUUGCCGUCCCUUUCAACCACCCACUUCCACCCUUAGGAUCGCCCCAUUUUCCCUCGGUCUUUUAUGCAUGGUGUCUAGUUUUUUAAAAACCGGGAUUCAUCAGGGAAUGAAAAUUUACCGGGAAGAUCAGUGGAGAAUCAGGGACUCUGUUCCAGAAACCGGGAAUCUCUUCUCCAACCACCUAGGAAUCAUUUCAUUUUCAAAUUUGGCGGUCUAAUCUGACGUGCGCCAAAGAAAUGACUGUAGGUGUAGGUAAGAUGAAUUGAAAUCGAUAUUCAUAUCUGAAACUCUGGAAAAUUAUAUUCUUUUCCCCCAGAAAAUCCCGGGAAAGUGGGAGAAAACUUCGGUUUCUCAUCAGGGAAUGAGCUCCUGAAAAUCAGGGAAUGAGCUCUGUCAAGAAAACUGGACCCAUGCUUUUAUGGCUAUCGCUAUCUGUCUAUCAAUUUCAACGAUCAGCCUGCAGGCACCUGUUGACUCCGGGGCCGGGCCCUGACGUCAUUUACAGAAGACUCAUAAAAUAUAUAUAGACCUAUGGAAUUACAAAAAAUUAAGAAACUCGGGAAAGUUGCAACGAUGCGAUGGGCAGCGGGCGAAUACAACGUGACGUCAAUCAGCCGGAAUCAAAUACUAAUUGCGUUUUGAAACUUUAACAAAAGAUCCCUCUUUUAUUCGCCACUUGAUCAUGACUAAUCGCGCUCGUCGGUGCGCAUACUGAUGCCACCAACCACGCCGCGGCCGGUCAAAUGGACGUAUUUCUGUCAAACGGAAGUAUGUGCAUUAAGACAUGAGCCUGAGACCCAUAAGCAUAUGUGCAAAACAGGGCUCACGUCAUAAUGCACAUAGUUCCGUUUGAUAGAAAUACGUCCAAAUGUGAGUAAAAUCAUUCACUGCCGCGGAACGAUAAAGGGAAUCCAGCACUUCUUCGUCGAUCAUUGCUAAACCGGCACUCUUGUUAAUAGAUAGGUUCGGGCCCUUUGUUCCUUCGCUCGGCAAUGACUCACGACUCAUGAAACCGCUUCCUGUUACUCAAAGCGGAAAACCCUAAGAAAAUCGGACCCAACCCUUUUUGACUCACAGCUGGAGGUGGGACUGUAUAGUGUAUAUGAGUUCAUCCAAAUAGACGAAUGGGGAGAUAGAUGCGAAGGUAGCCCUUAGCUCGGAAAUCACCUUUUACGUUGGUUCUUCAAGUAUAGCUCUUUGAAAAACGAUUCGAUAGUAAAUCGAUUAAUCGAUCAAUUGACAAUUUCUGGAUCUCUGAAUUCUUUUUUAAAAUUGCCGAAAAUACAUCACGCCGAGGUACGUCACCUACAGGGUGUCCCAAAAGUCCGACCCCCCCCCCCUCGUAACUUUUGAACGGUUAGAGAUAGAAAAA